Molecule: ribosomal RNA, 713 nt
Filed under: uncultured bacterium
Lineage: Bacteria
Description: bacterial SSU rRNA
Rfam family: Bacterial small subunit ribosomal RNA
Source: RNAcentral
GAUGAACGCUGGCGGCGUGCCUAACACAUGCAAGUCGAACGGGGCAUAAGUGAAGUUUUCGGACGGAUCUUAUGCUUAGUGGCGGACGGGUGAGUAACGCGUGGACAACCUGCCUCUCACUGGGGGAUAGCAGCCGGAAACGGCUGGUAAUACCGCAUGCGCUCCAUGCGCCGCAUGGCGGAUGGAGGAAAGAUUUAUCGGUGAGAGAUGGGUCCGCGUCUGAUUAGCCAGUUGGCGGGGUAACGGCCCACCAAAGCGACGAUCAGUAGCCGGCCUGAGAGGGCGGACGGCCACAUUGGGACUGAGACACGGCCCAGACUCCUACGGGAGGCAGCAGUGGGGGAUAUUGCACAAUGGGCGCAAGCCUGAUGCAGCGACGCCGCGUGAGUGAAGAAGUAUUUCGGUAUGUAAAGCUCUAUCAGCAGGGAAGAAAAGCCCCGUCAAGGGGGUAUGACGGUACCUGACCAAGAAGCCCCGGCUAACUACGUGCCAGCAGCCGCGGUAAUACGUAGGGGGCCAAGCGUUAUCCGGAUUUACUGGGUGUAAAGGGAGCGCAGACGGAUGUGCCAGUCUGAUGUGAAAGCCCGGGGCCCAACGCGGGACUGCAUCGGAUACUGUACAUCUGGAGUGCCGGAGGGGCAAGCGGAAUUCCUGGUGUAGCGGUGAAAAUGCGUAGAUAUCAGGAGGAACACCGGCGGCGAAGGCGGCUUGCU